This 778-nucleotide ribosomal RNA is filed under the name uncultured bacterium. Its description in RNAcentral is "bacterial SSU rRNA". It matches the Rfam family "Bacterial small subunit ribosomal RNA", at positions 726 to 1504 of the family's 1533-position model. The record is from RNAcentral.
GCCCCCUGACAAGACUGACGCUCAGAUGCGAAAGCGUGGGAGCAAACAGGAUUAGAUACCCUGGUAGUCCACGCCGUAAACGAUGUCUACUUGAAGGUUGUGGCCUUGAGCCGUGGCUUUCGGAGCUAACGCGUUAAGUAGACCGCCUGGGGAGUACGGUCGCAAGAUUAAAACUCAAAUGAAUUGACGGGGGCCCGCACAAGCGGUGGAGCAUGUGGUUUAAUUCGAUGCAACGCGAAGAACCUUACCUACUCUUGACAUCCAGAGAAGUUACCAGAGAUGGUUUCGUGCCUUCGGGAACUCUGAGACAGGUGCUGCAUGGCUGUCGUCAGCUCGUGUUGUGAAAUGUUGGGUUAAGUCCCGCAACGAGCGCAACCCUUAUCCUUGUUUGCCAGCACGUAAUGGUGGGAACUCCAGGGAGACUGCCGGUGAUAAACCGGAGGAAGGUGGGGACGACGUCAAGUCAUCAUGGCCCUUACGAGUAGGGCUACACACGUGCUACAAUGGCGUAUACAGAGGGCUGCCAACCAGCGAUGGUGAGCGAAUCCCACAAAGUACGUCGUAGUCCGGAUCGGAGUCUGCAACUCGACUCCGUGAAGUCGGAAUCGCUAGUAAUCGUGAAUCAGAAUGUCACGGUGAAUACGUUCCCGGGCCUUGUACACACCGCCCGUCACACCAUGGGAGUGGGCUGCACCAGAAGUAGAUAGCUUAACCUUCGGGAGGGCGUUUACCACGGUGUGGUUCAUGACUGGGGUGAAGUCGUAACAAGGUAACCGUA